UGGGGAAUUUUGGACAAUGGGCGAAAGCCUGAUCCAGCCAUGCCGCGUGCAGGAUGAAGGCCUUCGGGUUGUAAACUGCUUUUGUACGGAACGAAAAGACUCUGGUUAAUACCUGGGGUCCAUGACGGUACCGUAAGAAUAAGCACCGGCUAACUACGUGCCAGCAGCCGCGGUAAUACGUAGGGUGCAAGCGUUAAUCGGAAUUACUGGGCGUAAAGCGUGCGCAGGCGGUUAUAUAAGACAGAUGUGAAAAUCCCCGGGCUCAACCUGGGAACUGCAUUUGUGACUGUAUAGCUAGAGUACGGCAGAGGGGGAUGGAAUUCCGCGUGUAGCAGUGAAAUGCGUAGAUAUGCGGAGGAACACCGAUGGCGAAGGCAAUCCCCUGGGCCUGUACUGACGCUCAUGCACGGAAGCGUGGGGAGCAAACAGGAUUAGAUACCCUGGUAGUCCACGCCCUGAACGAUGUCAACUGGUUGUUGGGUCUUCACUGACUCAGUAACGAAGCUAACGCGUGAAGUUGACCGCCUGGGGAGUACGGCCGCAAGGUUGAAACUCAAAUGAAUUGACGGGGGUCAUAGCUGG
RNAcentral lists this ribosomal RNA (582 nucleotides) under uncultured bacterium. RNAcentral describes it as "partial 16S ribosomal RNA". It matches the Rfam family "Bacterial small subunit ribosomal RNA", at positions 355 to 929 of the family's 1533-position model. The record is from RNAcentral.